GACGAACGCUGGCGGCGUGCUUAACACAUGCAAGUCGAGCGGAAAGGCCCUUCGGGGUACUCGAGCGGCGAACGGGUGAGUAACACGUGAGUAACCUGCCCCAGACUUUGGGAUAACCCUCGGAAACGGGGGCUAAUACCGGAUACGACACAGCUUCGCAUGGGGUCUGUGUGGAAAGUUUUUCGGUUUGGGAUGGGCUCGCGGCCUAUCAGCUUGUUGGUGGGGUGAUGGCCUACCAAGGCGACGACGGGUAGCCGGCCUGAGAGGGCGACCGGCCACACUGGGACUGAGACACGGCCCAGACUCCUACGGGAGGCAGCAGUGGGGAAUAUUGCACAAUGGGCGGAAGCCUGAUGCAGCGACGCCGCGUGAGGGAUGACGGCCUUCGGGUUGUAAACCUCUUUCAGCAUGGACGAAGCGUAAGUGACGGUACCUGCAGAAGAAGCGCCGGCCAACUACGUG
Molecule: ribosomal RNA, 462 nt
Filed under: uncultured bacterium
Lineage: Bacteria
Description: partial 16S ribosomal RNA
Rfam family: Bacterial small subunit ribosomal RNA
Source: RNAcentral